RNAcentral lists this ribosomal RNA (723 nucleotides) under Triticum aestivum (bread wheat). Its description in RNAcentral is "partial small subunit ribosomal RNA". Lineage: Eukaryota; Viridiplantae; Streptophyta; Magnoliopsida; Poales; Poaceae. The record is from RNAcentral.
AUGGAAGCCUUUGAAAACCGACUCCAUAACCACCAGUGUGGUGGUUUGAGUUUAGGCGCAGUGAUAUGCAUAUCAGUUGACGUUGCUUGUGCUCUUGAAUACCUACAUAAUCAGUGCAUCCCACCAGUUGUUCACUGCGAUCUGAAACCAAGCAACAUACUUUUUGACAAUGACGAUACAGCACGUCUCUGCGACUUUGGUCUGGCAAAGCUAAUUCAUGGUUGUUCAUCUGGAGGGCAGAGCGGCACAACAAGCAUAGUUGGACCAAGGGGAUCUAUUGGGUACAUACCUCCUGAGUAUGGAAUGGGCGGUGAAAUCUCCACCGAGGGAGACAUUUGCAGCUAUGGCAUUGUUCUUUUGGAAAUGCUAACACGGAAACGGCCUACUAAUGAAGAGUUCAGUGAUGGCUUGACGCUCCGCAAGUAUGUAGAAGCAUCACUUUCACGAACCCAAGACAUUCUUCAUCCCAGCCUUACUUCGGUGAGGGGAGAUCAGUUUGCUGAUCAAAUCCCAAACUUGCAAGAAUGCAACACAUUUGCGCUGAAGGAUAUGUGUGCUCUUCGUCUCCUUAAACUUGGCUUAUUAUGCUCCGCGGAAUCACCGAAGGAUCGCCCAGCGAUGCACGAUGUCUACAGUGAAGUAACUGAAGUAAAAGAGGUGUUUUUCUGCAUGGAUAACCGAAGCAAUGACCUUACAUUAUUAAGGAAAAAAGGCGGUCGAUGA